RNAcentral lists this ribosomal RNA (256 nucleotides) under uncultured bacterium. RNAcentral's name for it is "partial 16S ribosomal RNA". It matches the Rfam family "Bacterial small subunit ribosomal RNA", at positions 331 to 604 of the family's 1533-position model. The record is from RNAcentral.
UCGAACCUACGGGGGGCAGCAGUGGGGGAUAUUGCACAAUGGGGGAAACCCUGAUGCAGCGACGCCGCGUGGGCGAAGAAGUAUUACGGUAUGUAAAGCCCUCUCAGCAGGGAAGAAGAAAUGACGGUACCUGAGUAAGAAGCACCGGCUAAAUACGUGCCAGCAGCCGCGGUAAUACGUAUGGUGCAAGCGUUAUCCGGAUUUAUUGGGUUUAAAGGGUGCGCAGGCGGCGUGUCAAGUUAGCGGUAAAAUGUCG